CAGCAGCCACGGUAAUACGUAGGUGGCAAGCGUUGUCCGGAAUUAUUGGGCGUAAAGGGCUCGCAGGCGGUUUCUUAAGUCUGAUGUAAAAGCCCCCGGCCCAACCGGGGAGGGUCAUUGGAAACUGGGAAACUUGAGUGCAGAAGAGGAGAGUGGAAUUCCACGUGUAGCGGUGAAAUGCGUAGAGAUGUGGAGGAACACCAGUGGCGAAGGCGACUCUCUGGUCUGUAACUGACGCUGAGGAGCGAAAGCGUGGGGAGCGAACAGGAUUAGAUACCCGUGUAGUCCCUGUCUCUUAUAC
RNAcentral lists this ribosomal RNA (301 nucleotides) under uncultured bacterium. RNAcentral describes it as "partial 16S ribosomal RNA". It matches the Rfam family "Bacterial small subunit ribosomal RNA", at positions 509 to 807 of the family's 1533-position model. The record is from RNAcentral.